AUGUGUAACAAUCCGAGCCGCUAACGAUGAUAACUCACUGUACCUUAGACCAGCAGCGCAGAAUAUCUACAUCCAACUUGAGUAGACUUAUAUUUUUAAUUUGAACCUCUUUUUCAUCUGAUUUGAAAUUAUUGGUGUAUUACCAACUCUUUCCGUUUGGUCUCAAACGUCAUCUUCGGGACCAAACUCACAUAGCACUUAGUUUUUACAUUUCUAACUGGUAUUUAGUUCUAAUACAAAAUAUAACGAUCCGACUUAAUAGCAAUGGCUUUGAUACCAAAUAUAACAACUCGACCCACUGACAAUAAUAACUCGUUGAGUUUUAAACCGCCGGUCUAAAAUAUUUAAGUUUAGUUAUUAUUCUUAGAGUGUGUAGCCUCUUAUAUUCUCAAUCAAAAUAUCUUUUUUAUCUGAUGUAGGAUUAUUGGGGUGUCAUUUUAUAUUUCAAUAAUAUAUCUAUAUCAAACUAUACUAAUGAUCUAGUAGUAC
This 489-nucleotide long non-coding RNA is filed under the name Ananas comosus (pineapple). RNAcentral's name for it is "long non-coding RNA (ACOM_LNC032307)". The record is from RNAcentral. Lineage: Eukaryota; Viridiplantae; Streptophyta; Magnoliopsida; Poales; Bromeliaceae.